Molecule: ribosomal RNA, 274 nt
Filed under: uncultured bacterium
Lineage: Bacteria
Description: partial 16S ribosomal RNA
Rfam family: Bacterial small subunit ribosomal RNA
Source: RNAcentral
CUACGUAGGGUGCAAGCGUUAAUCGGAAUUACUGGGCGUAAAGCGUGCGCAGGCGGUUAUGUAAGACAGAUGUGAAAUCCCCGGGCUCAACCUGGGAACUGCAUUUGUGACUGCAUGGCUAGAGUACGGUAGAGGGGGAUGGAAUUCCGCGUGUAGCAGUGAAAUGCGUAGAUAUGCGGAGGAACACCGAUGGCGAAGGCAAUCCCCUGGACCUGUACUGACGCUCAUGCACGAAAGCGUGGGGAGCAAACAGGAUUAGAAACCCUAGUAGUCC